This 2547-nucleotide ribosomal RNA is filed under the name Escherichia coli. RNAcentral's name for it is "bacterial LSU rRNA". It matches the Rfam family "Bacterial large subunit ribosomal RNA", at positions 398 to 2925 of the family's 2925-position model. Lineage: Bacteria; Pseudomonadati; Pseudomonadota; Gammaproteobacteria; Enterobacterales; Enterobacteriaceae. The record is from RNAcentral.
UGUGAGCUCGAUGAGUAGGGCGGGACACGUGGUAUCCUGUCUGAAUAUGGGGGGACCAUCCUCCAAGGCUAAAUACUCCUGACUGACCGAUAGUGAACCAGUACCGUGAGGGAAAGGCGAAAAGAACCCCGGCGAGGGGAGUGAAAAAGAACCUGAAACCGUGUACGUACAAGCAGUGGGAGCACGCUUAGGCGUGUGACUGCGUACCUUUUGUAUAAUGGGUCAGCGACUUAUAUUCUGUAGCAAGGUUAACCGAAUAGGGGAGCCGAAGGGAAACCGAGUCUUAACUGGGCGUUAAGUUGCAGGGUAUAGACCCGAAACCCGGUGAUCUAGCCAUGGGCAGGUUGAAGGUUGGGUAACACUAACUGGAGGACCGAACCGACUAAUGUUGAAAAAUUAGCGGAUGACUUGUGGCUGGGGGUGAAAGGCCAAUCAAACCGGGAGAUAGCUGGUUCUCCCCGAAAGCUAUUUAGGUAGCGCCUCGUGAAUUCAUCUCCGGGGGUAGAGCACUGUUUCGGCAAGGGGGUCAUCCCGACUUACCAACCCGAUGCAAACUGCGAAUACCGGAGAAUGUUAUCACGGGAGACACACGGCGGGUGCUAACGUCCGUCGUGAAGAGGGAAACAACCCAGACCGCCAGCUAAGGUCCCAAAGUCAUGGUUAAGUGGGAAACGAUGUGGGAAGGCCCAGACAGCCAGGAUGUUGGCUUAGAAGCAGCCAUCAUUUAAAGAAAGCGUAAUAGCUCACUGGUCGAGUCGGCCUGCGCGGAAGAUGUAACGGGGCUAAACCAUGCACCGAAGCUGCGGCAGCGACGCUUAUGCGUUGUUGGGUAGGGGAGCGUUCUGUAAGCCUGCGAAGGUGUGCUGUGAGGCAUGCUGGAGGUAUCAGAAGUGCGAAUGCUGACAUAAGUAACGAUAAAGCGGGUGAAAAGCCCGCUCGCCGGAAGACCAAGGGUUCCUGUCCAACGUUAAUCGGGGCAGGGUGAGUCGACCCCUAAGGCGAGGCCGAAAGGCGUAGUCGAUGGGAAACAGGUUAAUAUUCCUGUACUUGGUGUUACUGCGAAGGGGGGACGGAGAAGGCUAUGUUGGCCGGGCGACGGUUGUCCCGGUUUAAGCGUGUAGGCUGGUUUUCCAGGCAAAUCCGGAAAAUCAAGGCUGAGGCGUGAUGACGAGGCACUACGGUGCUGAAGCAACAAAUGCCCUGCUUCCAGGAAAAGCCUCUAAGCAUCAGGUAACAUCAAAUCGUACCCCAAACCGACACAGGUGGUCAGGUAGAGAAUACCAAGGCGCUUGAGAGAACUCGGGUGAAGGAACUAGGCAAAAUGGUGCCGUAACUUCGGGAGAAGGCACGCUGAUAUGUAGGUGAAGCGACUUGCUCGUGGAGCUGAAAUCAGUCGAAGAUACCAGCUGGCUGCAACUGUUUAUUAAAAACACAGCACUGUGCAAACACGAAAGUGGACGUAUACGGUGUGACGCCUGCCCGGUGCCGGAAGGUUAAUUGAUGGGGUCAGCGCAAGCGAAGCUCUUGAUCGAAGCCCCGGUAAACGGCGGCCGUAACUAUAACGGUCCUAAGGUAGCGAAAUUCCUUGUCGGGUAAGUUCCGACCUGCACGAAUGGCGUAAUGAUGGCCAGGCUGUCUCCACCCGAGACUCAGUGAAAUUGAACUCGCUGUGAAGAUGCAGUGUACCCGCGGCAAGACGGAAAGACCCCGUGAACCUUUACUAUAGCUUGACACUGAACAUUGAGCCUUGAUGUGUAGGAUAGGUGGGAGGCUUUGAAGUGUGGACGCCAGUCUGCAUGGAGCCGACCUUGAAAUACCACCCUUUAAUGUUUGAUGUUCUAACGUUGACCCGUGAUCCGGGUUGCGGACAGUGUCUGGUGGGUAGUUUGACUGGGGCGGUCUCCUCCUAAAGAGUAACGGAGGAGCACGAAGGUUGGCUAAUCCUGGUCGGACAUCAGGAGGUUAGUGCAAUGGCAUAAGCCAGCUUGACUGCGAGCGUGACGGCGCGAGCAGGUGCGAAAGCAGGUCAUAGUGAUCCGGUGGUUCUGAAUGGAAGGGCCAUCGCUCAACGGAUAAAAGGUACUCCGGGGAUAACAGGCUGAUACCGCCCAAGAGUUCAUAUCGACGGCGGUGUUUGGCACCUCGAUGUCGGCUCAUCACAUCCUGGGGCUGAAGUAGGUCCCAAGGGUAUGGCUGUUCGCCAUUUAAAGUGGUACGCGAGCUGGGUUUAGAACGUCGUGAGACAGUUCGGUCCCUAUCUGCCGUGGGCGCUGGAGAACUGAGGGGGGCUGCUCCUAGUACGAGAGGACCGGAGUGGACGCAUCACUGGUGUUCGGGUUGUCAUGCCAAUGGCACUGCCCGGUAGCUAAAUGCGGAAGAGAUAAGUGCUGAAAGCAUCUAAGCACGAAACUUGCCCCGAGAUGAGUUCUCCCUGACUCCUUGAGAGUCCUGAAGGAACGUUGAAGACGACGACGUUGAUAGGCCGGGUGUGUAAGCGCAGCGAUGCGUUGAGCUAACCGGUACUAAUGAACCGUGAGGCUUAACCUU